RNAcentral lists this transfer RNA (73 nucleotides) under Rattus norvegicus (Norway rat). It matches the Rfam family "tRNA". From Rfam's summary of the family: Transfer RNA (tRNA) molecules are approximately 80 nucleotides in length. Lineage: Eukaryota; Metazoa; Chordata; Mammalia; Rodentia; Muridae. The record is from Rfam by way of RNAcentral.
GGAGAUGUGGCUCAGCUUGUAGAGUGCUUGCCUAGCGUGCACAAAGCCCUGGGUUCCAUUCCCAGCAUCAGUA